RNAcentral lists this ribosomal RNA (499 nucleotides) under uncultured bacterium. RNAcentral describes it as "partial 16S ribosomal RNA". It matches the Rfam family "Bacterial small subunit ribosomal RNA", at positions 30 to 523 of the family's 1533-position model. The record is from RNAcentral.
AUUGAACGCUGGCGGAAUGCUUACACAUGCAAGUCGAACGGCAGCACGGACUUCGGUCUGGUGGCGAGUGGCGAACGGGUGAGUAAUGUAUCGGAACGUGCCCAGUCGUGGGGGAUAACGUAGGGAAAAUUACGCUAAUACCGCAUACGAUCUAUGGAUGAAAGCGGGGGAUCGCAAGACCUCGCGCGAUUGGAGCGGCCGAUAUCAGAUUAGGUAGUUGGUGGGGUAAAGGCCCACCAAGCCAACGAUCUGUAGCUGGUCUGAGAGGACGACCAGCCACACUGGAACUGAGACACGGUCCAGACUCCUACGGGAGGCAGCAGUGGGGAAUUUUGGACAAUGGGCGAAAGCCUGAUCCAGCCAUUCCGCGUGCAGGAUGAAGGCCCUCGGGUUGUAAACUGCUUUUGUACAGAACGAAAAGGUUUCUACUAAUACUAGGAGCUCAUGACGGUACUGUAAGAAUAAGCACCGGCUAACUAUGUGCCAGCCGCCGCGGUAA